GACGAACGCUGGCGGCGUGCUUAACACAUGCAAGUCGAACGGAAAGGCCCUGCUUUUGUGGGGUGCUCGAGUGGCGAACGGGUGAGUAACACGUGAGUAACCUGCCCUUGACUUUGGGAUAACUUCAGGAAACUGGGGCUAAUACCGGAUAGGAGCUCCUGCUGCAUGGUGGGGGUUGGAAAGUUUCGGCGGUUGGGGAUGGACUCGCGGCUUAUCAGCUUGUUGGUGGGGUAGUGGCUUACCAAGGCUUUGACGGGUAGCCGGCCUGCGAGGGUGACCGGCCACAUUGGGACGGAGAUACGGCCCAGACUCGUACGGGAGGCAGGAGUGGGGAAUAUUGCACAAUGGGCGGAAGCCUGAUGCAGCAACGCCGCGUGCGGGAUGACGGGCUUCGGGUUGUAAACCGCUUUCGCCUGUGACGAAGCGUGAGUGACGGUAAUGGGUAAAGAAGCACCGGCUAACUACGUG
RNAcentral lists this ribosomal RNA (468 nucleotides) under uncultured bacterium. RNAcentral's name for it is "partial 16S ribosomal RNA". It matches the Rfam family "Bacterial small subunit ribosomal RNA", at positions 28 to 507 of the family's 1533-position model. The record is from RNAcentral.